GCGACCCCAGGACGGGCGAGGCCACCCGCCGAGUUUAAGCAUAUCAAUAA
RNAcentral lists this ribosomal RNA (50 nucleotides) under Warczewiczella marginata. Its description in RNAcentral is "partial 26S ribosomal RNA". Lineage: Eukaryota; Viridiplantae; Streptophyta; Magnoliopsida; Asparagales; Orchidaceae. The record is from RNAcentral.